Spinacia oleracea (spinach) is the source of this 1239-nucleotide long non-coding RNA. RefSeq lists it as uncharacterized. The record is from RefSeq and is a predicted model, not a curated record. The transcript is spliced from 6 exons. NCBI's taxonomy places the organism in Eukaryota, Viridiplantae, Streptophyta, Magnoliopsida, Caryophyllales, Amaranthaceae.
UGGUACAAAUAUGGGACUAGUGAUGGCAGGUGGAAGUAUGAUUCUGAGGUUCUUGCUACUAUCUUAGAGGUUGCAGAAAAUAGCUAUGAGGAUGGGAAGUACUCUGCGGGUCUAGGUAUGGGCUAUGGAGGAAUAGAAAGUGAUGGUGAGGAUGGCAUGAUCCAUGAUGAGCAAGCUAGUGAGGUUGAGGAGGAUAGUGAUGAUGAUGUGGUAGAGAUUGAAAAUAUUUUCCAAAAAUAUUAAUUUCCUGCUUCUCUCUCCUUCCUCUUCUCUGGUUACUGUAACCUAACUCCAAUUUCCCGCUUAUCUCUCUUCCCCUCUCUGGUUUCUCUCCUUCCCCUCUAUGGUUCUUCUCUGGGCGCGAAAUUCAGACUCACAACACCCACUGCACACACCGCAUAGGCGCAUAGCUGUUCCCCCACCGCCGAGUCGCUGCUGCUGUCUCCCACCGCCGAGUCGCUGCUGCUGUCUCCCACCGCCGAGUUGCAGCUGUUGUCUCCCACCGCCUAGUUGCCGCUGUUGUUCCCCCACCGCCGCGUCGUUCCUCCUUUUCCUUUCUAGUUCCCCGGAACCAGCAAAGAGAGGCCGUUCUCCACCUCCACAAGCUAAAAAGGCUUCUCCCCCUAGGCUGAAGAUUUGAGAGAAAAGAAACUUGUGAAUUUUGCGGAUACACACAGAUUACAUACAGUACACAAGAUAAUUAAGGAGAAUUAUGGUCAGCCAGCAUACCGUGGGAGAUCAGAUGUUGACAUUACUGCUACAAUCAUGAAAUUAUGGAUCUCAACCAAUUACAAAGUGUUAUUUUUACUUGAAAAUGGAGGUGUACAAGGAAGAGCAUCCUGAUUCCAAGGUUUGCAGUUGCUUAAAGGUUCUGUAAUUUGAACUGCGUAGGUUUCCAAGGAAGCUGGAGGAAAAUGGAAGUCCAUGACUAAUGAGGAGAAGAAGCCAUAUCAGGAUAAAUAUGUAGAGCUCAAGGUGGAGUAUGAGAAGGCUAUGGACGCUUACAAUGCUAGUAAUGAGGAGGUAUGCAAUCAUCCGAGGGAGCGACCUUUCAUAGAUGAAGUUCGAGAAAUGUUGGCAAACUUCAUUACCAGUGAUUGUCUUUGAUAUUUUCUUGUAUUGAAUCUUAAAUUAUGGAUGUUAGUUUUCCAUAUGAUUGUAAUGUAAUCGACUUUUAUAUUUACAAUUAUAUAUAUUAUUUAAUUUAAUUAUCUAUAUAAUUGGAUACUUUUUAUAUGA